UACAGAGGGUGCAAGCGUUAUUCGGAAUUACUGGGCGUAAAGCGCGCGUAGGCGGAUUAUUAAGUCAGUUGUGAAAGCCCUGGGCUCAACCUAGGAACUGCAUCUGAUACUGGUAAUCUAGAGUUUAGGAGAGGGAAGUGGAAUUCCAGGUGUAGCAGUGAAAUGCGUAGAUAUCUGGAGGAACAUCAGUGGCGAAGGCGGCUCUCUGGUCUGUAACUGACGCUGAGGCGCGAAAGCGUGGGGAGCAAACAGG
RNAcentral lists this ribosomal RNA (253 nucleotides) under uncultured bacterium. RNAcentral describes it as "partial 16S ribosomal RNA". It matches the Rfam family "Bacterial small subunit ribosomal RNA", at positions 524 to 776 of the family's 1533-position model. The record is from RNAcentral.